This 513-nucleotide long non-coding RNA is filed under the name Zostera marina. Its description in RNAcentral is "long non-coding RNA (ZMAR_LNC000517)". The record is from RNAcentral. Lineage: Eukaryota; Viridiplantae; Streptophyta; Magnoliopsida; Alismatales; Zosteraceae.
CCGGAUUGCAACUAUCUGAUCUAUGAGUACAUGAAGAACGGAUCGCUUCAAGACAUGUUAAAAAAGACGGUCGACGGCACACAAGAGCUCCCAUGGCCAACCCGGCUGAGAAUUGCGCAAGGAGUGGCUGCUGGUUUGGAGUACCUGCAUACACAACAUUCACCUCGGAUUAUCCACCGUGAUCUGAAACCAGCCAACAUCCUCCUUGACGAUGACUUGGAGGCAAAAAUUACGGAUUUUGGGUUGGCAAAGGCAAUUCCGGAUGCUAAUACUCACAUGACGACAUCCAAUGUAGCCGGCACGGUGGGGUAUAUCGCACCGGAGUACCAUCAGAUGCUCAAAUUCACUGAUAAGUGUGAUGUUUAUAGCUUUGGAGUGAUACUUGCAGUAUUGGUGGUUGGGAAGAUGCCUUCUGAUGAAUACUUUUGGAAUGAGGGGGUGGGCAUUGUUAUGUGGCUGAGGAAUAUUAUGCAAUCCGGGGAAGGUUCUGUGGAAGUUGUCGAAGCGGUUGAU